UGAGGAAUAUUGGUCAAUGGGCGAGAGCCUGAACCAGCCAAGUAGCGUGCAGGAAGACGGCCCUAUGGGUUGUAAACUGCUUUUAUGUGGGGAUAAAGUGCGUGACGUGUCAUGCAUUGCAGGUACCACAUGAAUAAGGACCGGCUAAUUCCGUGCCAGCAGCCGCGGUAAUACGGAAGGUCCGGGCGUUAUCCGGAUUUAUUGGGUUUAAAGGGAGCGUAGGCUGUCUAUUAAGCGUGUUGUGAAAUAUACCGGCUCAACCGGUGGCUUGCAGCGCGAACUGGUCGACUUGAGUAUGCAGGAAGUAGGCGGAAUUCAUGGUGUAGCGGUGAAAUGCUUAGAUAUCAUGACGAACUCCGAUUGCGAAGGCAGCUUACGGGAGCGCAACUGACGCUAAAGCUCGAAGGUGCGGGUAUCGAACAGG
RNAcentral lists this ribosomal RNA (424 nucleotides) under Verrucomicrobiota bacterium. RNAcentral's name for it is "Verrucomicrobia bacterium partial 16S ribosomal RNA". It matches the Rfam family "Bacterial small subunit ribosomal RNA", at positions 355 to 776 of the family's 1533-position model. Lineage: Bacteria; Pseudomonadati; Verrucomicrobiota. The record is from RNAcentral.